RNAcentral lists this unclassified non-coding RNA (3031 nucleotides) under Leishmania donovani. Its description in RNAcentral is "gene:LdHU3.33.3500(CDS-product:cell_division_cycl e_45_(CDC45)_putative)". Lineage: Eukaryota; Euglenozoa; Kinetoplastea; Trypanosomatida; Trypanosomatidae. The record is from RNAcentral.
ACGCAAGCACUUUCCGGGCCAACUUGGCGAUGACGCUUGUGUGCUCACAGGCAGAAAGGCUACCUGAGAUUCGCAACCCACGUUAUCCACACACAUUUUGGGGGUACGAUAGAGACUGAUAGAACAGGCAACGAGUGAGGGGGCUGCCCUUCAGUUACAGCGCGGGGGGCACUUCACGGCGACACGCUUACCCACCUCAACCCAUCCCCUGCCCCUACACGGGUGUUCGGCCGUGCAUACCGUUGCUUCCUUGCCCCGGCCAACCUUAGCAGUCCAGCCCAACAAAAGAGGCCGCUAAUAGAAGCCUUGGCAGAGGGGCAGGAAAAAAACCAAAGAAAGCAUGGCGACAGCUUCCGGGGCGCCGGAGCCGUGGGAGCGCAUCUCCACCUACUACGCGUCUACCCGAAAGAACAUCAACGUCCUUGUCGCUCCAACGGCCGACGCGGCCGCAGCCUCCCUCAGCUUGACCUACCUCAUGAAGGUGUUUCUGUUCCCCUUCCAGCUGCACCCCACUAGCUCGUAUGACGAGCUGAAGUGGUUUAUUGAGCAAACCAACUUUGCGCAGGACAGCGAGCGCGAGGAUGACAGCAGCCUGCGCAUCGACGACCUCUUCAUCCUCGUGGGCCUCGGUGCACCCGUUUUGCUCGAGGACUACUUCGACUUCACGCGGCACAUCGUCAUCGUCUUGGACGCCUACCGCCCUUUUCACCUUGGCAAUCUUCGCCGCGAGGACGGCGAACGCUGCAUCAUCUGGGGCAGCGACCGCAUACAGGUUGAGGUGGAUGACUUCUUUCGAAAGCAGCGCGCCGAGGAGGCGCAGCGGCGGCGGCGGCAUCGCCGCCGCCAGGACAUGAAGCGCCAUGAGGGCCACGCGCGACGCCAGCGCACCGAGGACGGUGGGGAGCAGAACGCCGACGUCUACAGCGAUGAGAGCAGCAUCAGCACCAGCAGCGAGGAGGAAGAGAACGCGGACUCUGACGGUGACGAGGAUGCCGACCUCUUUGAUGGCGAGGACGAUGACGCGACCCCGUCGCAGAGCCAGGAUCGCGUGGACUGGCGCAGCGCACCUGGCGAGGUAUCGGCACACUUGGAGGCGCUGUACUACGCAUGCUCUUGCGCCGGUCGCAGCAGUGCGGUGGAGGUGUACGACUUGUCAGUCAUGUUGCACCGCUUCCACGACACGAUUCUCUGGCACGCCGCCGUCGGCGUCUGCGAUUUGUAUCUGCGCCGUCUCGUCGACUACGCCACGUACCUGGUGGAGAUGGCACCGCUGCACGAGGCUGUCUCGCUUCAGCAAAGCGUGCGACGCGGCAUUCUUCGCGACCGCACCGACGAGGCCGUCAACAGCUAUCACCGAGCGUCCACAAAUAGCAUGCAGCUGAACAAUCGCGAGGAGGAGCAGCUCUACCUGCUGCGGCACUCCACUCUCUGGGACGCCAUCUGGUACGAUUCGCAAGUGGCGAGCACGCUCGACCUGCAUCACGUAGAGGACGGCCGCCCGCGACUGAGCCAGCUGCUUGCGAGUCGCUGUGGUGUGUCUAUCGCAAUGGCACAGCGACCCUGGCGCGAGGUGCCAACGGAUGUGGGCAGCGAAGCGCUAUGCCGCGUACAAGCAGAGCUGCAGAACUGGGUGAAUUCUCAGGGCAACUCCAUUGCGUACAGGAAUCGCAUACGGUGCAUCUCUCGCAAGGUGGGCUACAGCACUGAGGUGUCCACGUUCGACGUGUGCAAGCUCUUUACCGCUGAGAUGGCAGCGGUGCCGCCAGCGUCGGUGUACGUCAUCGAGAGGCCCCCAGGGAAGGCCAGCCUUUCACCCGAGGAGGUGGCGGCGUUGGCACAGCGCAAGCUUGUCGAGUUUCAGCGGGGCCAGUUCUGGCGCGCAAGCGCUGUGCUGGACAUAGACCCGAACGAAAAGCUGUUUCACGAAGCACUGGCGGGGGCUCUGUCGCUGCAGCAGGCUGUGGCCGACGCGACGGGCUCCAUGAUGCAGCCCGGCAACGUGCAGAGCAGCACGGGGAUUCACUACGCGCUGCCAUCGGACCCGGCCAAGACCUCACCGACGCUGGAGAGCUUCUGCACCAUGCGGCGACUCUCCGUCCUUGCGGAGCGGCUCUUCUUCACGCUUUCCAUGAGCCGCCGGCGUGACCGGCGUGCUUUGACGGCGUUGCGGCCUCUCAUCCUCUCCUGCGCCUUGCCGCAGGCACGCCUAGCGGCCCUGCCCACGGCGAGCAGCGGCAGCGGAAGCGGUUUACCAUCUGGACCCGGCAAGGAUGCGUUGGCGCCUGCUGUGCACUGGAGUAGGGCCAGUGGGGCUGCGCCUUCAGCGUCUGCCGCCACUGCCGCUGGUGGCGUUUUCAUUGGCGGCGGUGCACAGGUGGAGGACACGGCCGAGUACGUCGUCGUGCUAACCCACGGCGGUAACACGGGGGCUGGCAUGACCCCACUCCUUCCCAUGUACCGCUUUGCGCGGUGCAUGCAAGAUGAGCACUUCCACACGCCGCCGCGCCAGCUCUUUGUGGAGCGGAAUGCGGUGCAGGUGCGCGGUCGCGAAAAUACGACCUACCUGGCCGAGCGCAUGCUGCUCCUGUCGUUGAAGACUACAAUACCGCAGCACGAGUUCCGCAAGAGACGUGCGCCCGCGGUCGAUGAGUACGAUGAUGACGAUGUAGAGUGGGAGGCCGUGGAGGUGGUGGACUAGUCGAAGAAGAGCCUGCGCGACACUGGACUUGGGGCGGUUUCGUGGGUUCGCUUUCCUCGUGACUGGAAAAGGCUUUGACAAGGCCAGAGAAAAGAAUAGGCAGUGCUGCUGGUUCGCCUCCCCCCCCCCCCCCCCCCCCCCCACCUGCCCUCCUCCUCGCACCCCCGCGUCGACGAACUCGAGUGUGCAUAGGGCGAAUUUCGUGUAGAUGAUUCUAUUCGCCGGCGGCCGUGCGGAUUUCUCCUUUCACUUGGCAUGCGCUUGAUGUGUACGCGGUGCUCGUUUUCUUUUCAUCUCAUAGAUGCUCCUAUCUCCUUAUCUUUUCCUUUACAG